AAUCAAAUUAUUAAAGAAAUAAUUUUACAUUUAAAUCCUCCUUCAUAAUAUGGUUUAUUCAUAUUAAUUCGUAUAAAUAAAUUUAUUGUAACCCAUCUCUACUUAUCCAUAAAUUGCACCUUGACCUGACAUAAAAUAUUUUGUAUUGUGAGAAUAUUAAAUCUGAAAAUAUAAUCUGAUGACGGAGGUAUACAAAAUGAAUACAAGAAUAAGUACUUAUCUAUCGUGGAUUAUCAAUUACAGGACAGGUUCCUCUAAAAAGAAUAAAAUACCGCCAAAUUCUUUGGGUUUCAAGAACAUAACUAUUACUACCCUAAUCAUAAUU
This 325-nucleotide ribosomal RNA is filed under the name Tramea lacerata. RNAcentral describes it as "partial 12S ribosomal RNA". Lineage: Eukaryota; Metazoa; Arthropoda; Insecta; Odonata; Libellulidae. The record is from RNAcentral.